CCAGCAGCCGCGGUAAUAUUAUUGGGCGUAAAGAGCUCGUAGGCGGUUUGUCGCGUCUGCUGUGAAAACUGGAGGCUCAACCUCCAGCCUGCAGUGGGUACGGGCAGACUAGAGUGCGGUAGGGGAGAUUGGAAUUCCUGGUGUAGCGGUGGAAUGCGCAGAUAUCAGGAGGAACACCGAUGGCGAAGGCAGAUCUCUGGGCCGUUACUGACGCUGAGGAGCGAAAGGGUGGGGAGCAAACAGGCUUAGAUACCCUGGUAGUCCACCCCGUAAACGUUGGGAACUAGUUGUGGGGUCCAUUCCACGGAUUCCGUGACGCAGCUAACGCAUUAAGUUCCCCGCCUGGGGAGUACGGCCGCAAGGCUAAAACUCAAAGGAAUUGACGGGGACCCGCACAAGCGGCGGAGCAUGCGGAUUAAUUCGAUGCAACGCGAAGAACCUUACCAAGGCUUGACAUAUACGAGAACGGGCUAGAAAUAGUCAACUCUUUGGACACUCGUAAACAGGUGGUGCAUGGUUGUCGUCAGCUCGUGUCGUGAGAUGUUGGGUUAAGUCCCGCAACGAGCGCAACCCUCGUUCUAUGUUGCCAGCACGUAAUGGUGGGAACUCAUGGGAUACUGCCGGGGUCAACUCGGAGGAAGGUGGGGAUGACGUCAAAUCAUCAUGCCCCUUAUGUCUUGGGCUUCACGCAUGCUACAAUGGCCGGUACAAAGGGCUGCAAUACCGUAAGGUGGAGCGAAUCCCAAAAAGCCGGUCCCAGUUCGGAUUGAGGUCUGCAACUCGACCUCAUGAAGUCGGAGUCGCUAGUAAUCGCAGAUCAGCAACGCUGCGGUGAAUACGUUCCCGGGUCUUGUACACACCGCCCGUCAAGUCAUGAAAGUCGGUAACACCUGAAGCCGGUGGCCCAACCCUUGUGGAGGGAGCCGUCGAAGGUGGGAUCGGUAAUUAGGACUAAGUCGUAACAGGGUAACCGUAAA
RNAcentral lists this ribosomal RNA (977 nucleotides) under Microbacterium aurum. Its description in RNAcentral is "bacterial SSU rRNA". It matches the Rfam family "Bacterial small subunit ribosomal RNA", at positions 535 to 1506 of the family's 1533-position model. The record is from RNAcentral. Lineage: Bacteria; Bacillati; Actinomycetota; Actinomycetes; Micrococcales; Microbacteriaceae.